This 380-nucleotide ribosomal RNA is filed under the name uncultured bacterium. RNAcentral describes it as "bacterial SSU rRNA". It matches the Rfam family "Bacterial small subunit ribosomal RNA", at positions 521 to 896 of the family's 1533-position model. The record is from RNAcentral.
UGAUACGUAGGGGGCAAGCGUUGUCCGGAAUCAUUGGGCGUAAAGAGCUCGUAGGCGGCUUAGUAAGUCGGUCGUGAAAUACCGAGGCUCAACCUCGGCACUGCGGUCGAUACUGCUAUGGCUAGAGUUUGGUAGAGGAGAACGGAAUUCCCGGUGUAGCGGUGGAAUGCGCAGAUAUCGGGAGGAACACCUGUAGCGAAGGCGGUUCUCUGGGCCAAUACUGACGCUGAGGAGCGAAAGCGUGGGGAGCAAACAGGAUUAGAUACCCUGGUAGUCCACGCUGUAAACGUUGGGCACUAGGUGUGGCGACCCGACCAACGGUUGCCGUGCCGAAGCUAACGCAUUAAGUGCCCCGCCUGGGGAGUACGGCCGCAAGGCUA